RNAcentral lists this ribosomal RNA (400 nucleotides) under Cupriavidus sp. NH26B. Its description in RNAcentral is "bacterial SSU rRNA". It matches the Rfam family "Bacterial small subunit ribosomal RNA", at positions 84 to 480 of the family's 1533-position model. Lineage: Bacteria; Pseudomonadati; Pseudomonadota; Betaproteobacteria; Burkholderiales; Burkholderiaceae. The record is from RNAcentral.
CCUGGUGGCGAGUGGCGAACGGGUGAGUAAUACAUCGGAACGUGCCCUGUCGUGGGGGAUAAAUAGUCGAAAGAUUAGAUAAUACCGCAUACGACGUGAGGGUGAAAGCGGGGGACCGCAAGGCCUCGCGCGACAGGAGCGGCCGAUGUCUGAUUAGCUAGUUGGUGGGGUAAAAGCCUACCAAGGCGACGAUCAGUAGCUGGUCUGAGAGGACGAUCAGCCACACUGGGACUGAGACACGGCCCAGACUCCUACGGGAGGCAGCAGUGGGGAAUUUUGGACAAUGGGGGCAACCCUGAUCCAGCAAUGCCGCGUGUGUGAAGAAGGCCUUCGGGUUGUAAAGCACUUUUGUCCGGAAAGAAAGCCUCUGCCCUAAUACGGUGGGGGGAUGACGGUACCG